This 465-nucleotide ribosomal RNA is filed under the name uncultured bacterium. Its description in RNAcentral is "partial 16S ribosomal RNA". It matches the Rfam family "Bacterial small subunit ribosomal RNA", at positions 338 to 795 of the family's 1533-position model. The record is from RNAcentral.
CCUACGGGGGGCAGCAGUGGGGAAUUUUGCGCAAUGCUCGUAAGAGUGACGCCGCGACGCCGCGUGAAUGACGAAGGCCUUCGGGUCGUAAAGUUCUUUCGACAGGGAAGAAAAUGCCUAUAAGUAACUGUGUAUGUAUUGACGGUACCUUAGGAAUAAGCCUCGGCUAACUACGUGCCAGCAGCCGCGGUAAUACGUAGGAGGCGAGCGUUAUCCGGAAUGACUGGGCGUAAAGGGUGCGUAGGUGGUUUGGCAAGUUAGUAGCGUAACUCCAAGGCUCAACCUUGGAACUACUACUAAAACUGUUGGACUUGAGUGCAGGAGGGGCAACCGGAAGUCCUAGUGUAGCGGUGGAAUGCGUAGAUAUUAGGAGGAACACCAGUGGCGAAGGCGGGUUGCUAGACUGUAACUGACACUGAGGCACGAAAGCGUGGGGAGCAAACAGGAUUAGAUACCCUUGUAGUC